UGCAGGGAGAAGAGCCCUUGUGAAGGCCAUCCAUAAGCAUGCAGACCAAUGGCGCAAGACAGACAUCUCAGAGACCUGGUCCCAGCUCCCUGACAUCACACAUGGAGCCAUUAAAGGAUCCCGGGACACUGCCCUGCCUUUCCAUGCAGUGAGAAUUGAAGAAG
Molecule: long non-coding RNA, 164 nt
Organism: Mastomys coucha (southern multimammate mouse)
Lineage: Eukaryota; Metazoa; Chordata; Mammalia; Rodentia; Muridae
Exons: 3
Source: RefSeq, a predicted model, not a curated record